Molecule: ribosomal RNA, 207 nt
Filed under: uncultured bacterium
Lineage: Bacteria
Description: partial 16S ribosomal RNA
Rfam family: Bacterial small subunit ribosomal RNA
Source: RNAcentral
CACGUAGGCGGCUAUGUAAGUUGGGGGUGAAAUCCCGGAGCUCAACUCCGGAACUGCCUUCAAAACUACAUAGCUAGAGGAUGUGAGAGGAGAGUGGAAUUCCGAGUGUAGAGGUGAAAUUCGUAGAUAUUCGGAAGAACACCAGUGGCGAAGGCGACUCUCUGGCACAUUUCUGACGCUGAGGUGCGAAAGCGUGGGGAGCAAACA